CUGUCCGAGGGGCGCUGCAGCAGGUUUUCCCUGUCAGGCUCGGAUGGGGCGUUGUUUGACCGGUCCACUGGUCAAGCCUUAAACGCACAACGGCGCCCAUUCGCA
RNAcentral lists this non-coding RNA (105 nucleotides) under Pseudomonas cichorii. RNAcentral's name for it is "SAH sequence". It matches the Rfam family "SAH (S-adenosyl-L-homocysteine) riboswitch aptamer". Lineage: Bacteria; Pseudomonadati; Pseudomonadota; Gammaproteobacteria; Pseudomonadales; Pseudomonadaceae. The record is from RNAcentral.